UGAUGAUGAUGACAACAACAACAAUGUGAUGGUGAUUAUCAUGAUCAUGAUAAUGAUGAGUUAAACUAAGUUUUCUGUGUACAUGUGCUCUGUUGCUAUUUCCCCAAAGGUACAGGGAUGCAUUAAUGUUUGAUUUAAACUCGGAAUGACCUCUCUGCUGGAAAAUCUCCUCAAAAUAUUUGAAUCUUCUGACAGUUACUAGCAUUAAUUUUGUGGAACUUUGAAUAGUGAGAAAAAAAUUUGUGCAGUUUUGUUUAAUAAAAUGGAUUGAUUAUAAGGUAACUGUUUUUUUUUAUCAUAUUAACAUCCAAAAAAGAUCAUGACUUAUCAUUUUAUUUUAUUUUUACACAUAUUAGGCUCUUUGUCUUUGUUUAAAGUUUGACUAAGAGAUAAGCUUUAUGCAUGUACUGUCAAGUAUGUUUCACUUUAUUCCAAAAUAAUUGACAAAUACUCAGUCAAGCAAUGUACUAAGUUUAAAAAUUAUCAUUCAAUUUGUACAAUGAAGUUGAAGAUGUAUAAAGAAAUGUUAUACACAUUUUUUCCAGACAAAACCCCCCCCAUAAGGAUGACAAUGUACUUGGACAAGAUUCUAAGACCUUUUUGAAAGAAAUAUGAAUAGGGGACUUCUAUAGCAGAAGAAGUAUAGCCAAACUUGCAGAAAACAACAACCGAAUGACUGCAUCACUAAAGAAAAGAAACAGGAUUUCUCCAAAUGUAGAAAUGCAGACAGCUCUUCACCAUCAACUGUGAUCCUUUGUAAUUUUGUGUACAUAUGAAACUAAAUGACUGCAAAGAAAUGUUUUUUGUUGUUCUUAGGUUGUUGUAUGCAUACUUCA
Molecule: long non-coding RNA, 836 nt
Organism: Mya arenaria
Lineage: Eukaryota; Metazoa; Mollusca; Bivalvia; Myida; Myidae
Exons: 3
Source: RefSeq, a predicted model, not a curated record